GUUUCCGAGGAGCGUUGCGACGGGCAAUCUGAAAGCCGCCCGCCAGGCUCGGAGACAUUCAAUCCGGACGGUUCGAACGCGCUUUUAGUUAUGAAAGGCGCUCGCUGAGCCACCGCAUUCGAACGGCGCUCACGUCAA
This 138-nucleotide non-coding RNA is filed under the name Candidatus Burkholderia verschuerenii. RNAcentral's name for it is "SAH (S-adenosyl-L-homocysteine) riboswitch aptamer". It matches the Rfam family "SAH (S-adenosyl-L-homocysteine) riboswitch aptamer". The record is from Rfam by way of RNAcentral. Lineage: Bacteria; Pseudomonadati; Pseudomonadota; Betaproteobacteria; Burkholderiales; Burkholderiaceae. RNAcentral also lists the same sequence under 1 other name.